GCGAGAGGUUGUGUUGGAGAAACGGGGGAGAGACGACGCGUGGAGUUAACAAACAAGAGAUCACGUCAUCACAUUAUUUGGCGCUUGAGGCCCUGUAUAUUCUGAUCCUCCGAGCCAAGAUGCCCCGCUGCCGAGUGCCUUUGGUUCUCCUUCUCAUGUGCCUUUGUGGGAAGGCGACGGCGCAGAACAUCAUCGCCGUGGCUGCUUCAGGAAACCACAACGUUGUCCAGGAGCUCAUUACCGCCGGAGCCAAUGUUAAUCUCCAGGAUCCUCAGACAGGU
Molecule: long non-coding RNA, 281 nt
Organism: Penaeus indicus
Lineage: Eukaryota; Metazoa; Arthropoda; Malacostraca; Decapoda; Penaeidae
Exons: 3
Source: RefSeq, a predicted model, not a curated record